AACGAACGCUGGCGGCAUGCCUAACACAUGCAAGUCGAACGAGAUCUUCGGGUCUAGUGGCGCACGGGUGCGUAACGCGUGGGAAUCUGCCCUUUGGUUCGGAAUAACAGUUGGAAACGACUGCUAAUACCGGAUGAUGACGAAAGUCCAAAGAUUUAUCGCCAGAGGAUGAGCCCGCGUAGGAUUAGCUAGUUGGUGUGGUAAAGGCGAACCAAGGCGACGAUCCUUAGCUGGUCCGAGAGGAUGAUCAGCCACACUGGGACUGAGACACGGCCCAGACUCCUACGGGAGGCAGCAGUGGGGAAUAUUGGACAAUGGACGAAAGCCUGAUCCAGCAAUGCCGCGUGAGUGAUGAGGGCCUUAGGGUUGUAAAGCUCUUUUACCCGGGAUGAUAAUGACAGUACCGGGAGAAUAAGCUCCGGCUAACUCCGUGCCAGCAGCCGCGGUAA
RNAcentral lists this ribosomal RNA (449 nucleotides) under uncultured bacterium. RNAcentral describes it as "partial 16S ribosomal RNA". It matches the Rfam family "Bacterial small subunit ribosomal RNA", at positions 29 to 523 of the family's 1533-position model. The record is from RNAcentral.